This 62-nucleotide small nuclear RNA is filed under the name Microcebus murinus (gray mouse lemur). The record is from RNAcentral. Lineage: Eukaryota; Metazoa; Chordata; Mammalia; Primates; Cheirogaleidae.
AGAGAUUAGCAUGGCCCCUGCACAAGGAUGACACACACAUUUAUGAAGCUUGCCAGAUGUUU